RNAcentral lists this ribosomal RNA (561 nucleotides) under Orlitia borneensis (Malayan giant turtle). RNAcentral describes it as "partial 16S ribosomal RNA". It matches the Rfam family "Bacterial large subunit ribosomal RNA", at positions 1818 to 2603 of the family's 2925-position model. Lineage: Eukaryota; Metazoa; Chordata; Testudines; Geoemydidae. The record is from RNAcentral.
GCCCCUAGCAGCAUACAAGUAUUAGGGGUAAUGCCUGCCCAGUGACAUUGUUAAACGGCCGCGGUAUCCUAACCGUGCAAAGGUAGCGUAAUCACUUGUCUUUUAAAUAAAGACUAGAAUGAAUGGCCAAACGAGGUUCUACCUGUCUCUUACAAAUAAUCAGUGAAAUUGAUCUUCCUGUGCAAAAGCAGGAAUAAAACUAUAAGACGAGAAGACCCUGUGGAACUUUAAAUACAAGUCAACUAUCAUCAAUAUUCACCCACGGGCCUACACCCAACUAUACCUGACUUAUAUUUUUCGGUUGGGGCGACCUCGGAGCAAAACAAAACCUCCGAAAAAUAGAAUUUAACCUAUACCUAGACACACAACCCAAAGUGCUUCCGGCAAAAUGAUCCAAUAUAUUUGAUCAACGAACCAAGCUACCCCAGGGAUAACAGCGCAAUCCCAUCCUAGAGUUCCUAUCGACAAUGGGGUUUACGACCUCGAUGUUGGAUCAGGACAUCCUGAUGGUGCAGCCGCUAUCAAGGGUUCGUUUGUUCAACGAUUAACAGUCCUACGUGA